AUAAAUUUUAUUCUUAACAUUUUAGUAUAAUUUGGGCCUUGUAUAAAAUAUUUUUGUAGGCUAUUUGUUUGAGCCUAACUUGUAUUCAUGGGGUAAAAAUAUUGAAAAGCCCAUAAUAUUUUAGAUACUUAUCGAAUGUAAUUCUUUAAAUUUUUGUAGAAUUUCAACCACAACUUUAAUUCUUCCAGUUUAAAAAUCCUCCUCAGCCAUCCAAUUUAUUUAGUCAAUCUUGUGCAAUAAGGAAUUCAUUUUAUCCUUUCCACCGCCUCACUUUUUUAUAAAAUUAGCUUCUCUCAUUUUCUGGAAAUAUUUCGAAAAUACAGCUAGCCAAUUUUGAUUUCCACAGCAGCAAAUUUAGCAGCAAAUUUUGAAGCAGCCAACUUUGAAGCAACAAAGUUUGAUUGAUCUCUUUUCACACUUUCACACGUUCUAUGUCAAAUAUUUCAAUCUAUUUAAACAUCAUUGUAUCAUUCUCAAAUUCACAAAUCAACAAAAAUUCACUCAAAUAUUUCCAAUUCGCAGCAACUGAUUUAUUUCACUCAUUCAAGCUGGUAAUUUUAAUAACUUUUUGAAAAGUUAUUUCAUUUCAAGCAUAUCAACAAUUUUCUGCAUUUUCGCCAAAACCAAGGCUAAACAUCAAAAACUUUGUUUUCAAAAUCCAAUCAUGCAUACAUCUAUUUUUCUGUAAUUUAUAUAUAUUGCUAAAUACAUGAAAAAGAAAAUAGAAUAAAUCUUAUAUAUUACAUGGGAAAUAGAGAUAGAAGAAGUGGAAAAGGGAUGGUGCCUAGGAUACGGGGAGCUGUUGAACAGCGCCGCCGGUGCUACGCGCCACGGCGGCCGGCGGGAGAAGACAGAGGCGGCGACGGUGGUUUGGUUUGGCAGCACCGGAUCUGGAAAGGGAGGCAGCCUGACCGGCUGCUGCUGCCGGCCAAAGGAGAGGUGGGAGGCAUGGACGGGGUGGUGGCGCUGGCAGGCGGCGUGCCGUCUGGUGGUGGCGGCGGUAGGAGGCUGAGAGGGAGAGAAGAAGAGAGGGAGUGAACGGCAGAGAGAGAGCGGCAGAGAGAAUGAAGAGGUUAGGCUGCGUAUGUGUUUUGGUGAAUUGGGGGUUUUAAUUAGGGAAAGUUAGAAUGGGCUUGGGCCCUAGGUUAACUAUAAUUUUUGGGCUUCAGUUUAUUAAGUGAUUGGGCUGUAGAUUUAGUAAAUAAAUUGGGCUUAAUUCUAUUUUUUUUUAUGGGCUGAAAUUGCAUAUAUUUUUACAAAUGAUAUUAUUAAAUUUUAUAUUUCAAUUUACAUUAUUAAUUUAAAUUUAGUUUUCAUUAAAUAUUGAGCCAAAAUAUUUUUAUAAGAAAAGCUCUUUUAUAAUCUAUUAGACCAAUGAUUUUUAAAUGGCUUUAUGAUAAUAAAUUCUUAAGAUUUAAAUUACUAUUAUUAUUAUUUUUAAGUUCAAAUAGGCCCAAUGCUUUAAUUAUUUGAAUUUAUCUGACUAGGUGCGGCGCGACUAGGAAGUGAACUUUACAUUCCUGCAGUUAAUUUUCAAA
Molecule: long non-coding RNA, 1538 nt
Filed under: Salvia miltiorrhiza (redroot sage)
Lineage: Eukaryota; Viridiplantae; Streptophyta; Magnoliopsida; Lamiales; Lamiaceae
Description: long non-coding RNA (SMIL_LNC004784)
Source: RNAcentral